GUCCCUGUAGCACAGUGGAUAGCGCGUUGGUCUUCUAAUCCAAAUGUCCCGGGUUCGAAUCCAGGCUGGGAUG
Molecule: non-coding RNA, 73 nt
Organism: Dermacentor silvarum
Lineage: Eukaryota; Metazoa; Arthropoda; Arachnida; Ixodida; Ixodidae
Source: the annotation of a RefSeq genome assembly